Non-coding RNA from Heterocephalus glaber (naked mole-rat), 3047 nucleotides. Lineage: Eukaryota; Metazoa; Chordata; Mammalia; Rodentia; Bathyergidae. The record is from RefSeq and is a predicted model, not a curated record.
GCUUCCCCUUCUAUCUCUAAAGCAGAGGUCCCAUUGGCCUUUAGAAUGGAACAAAACCUCCAGGUCACCCGUGUACAAAAUGUAAAGGAGCUGAUGAUCCCCAAUCCUGGACAGUGGAGAGUCUGAACCAUCGCCUCUUCCUCCUGCACUGGAUAUACCUGGCACCUGCUCACCUGCCUGUGCACAUAGCGCAGAGGCAGGCCUGGCUCAGAGGGACUGCUGUUUCUUCAGAGGGAACCAGGUUGACUCUGCUCUCUUCUCCUAGAGAUUAGUCUGGGUCUGUCAGCUGUCAUUAACUCACUGUUCAUAUGGGCAGCUUAGGAACAGAUCACGGCAUCCGAAAUCAGAAUGCCAUUAGAGGCUUGUCCCUAGAGGCUGAAGCACUGCAAACAGGCAAGCAGAAAGAUGCAGCUCACACCACACAUCCUGGGAAAUCACAGGGGCCUCCAUGCCGAGGAAAGAGGGACCAGCGACUCCCUCCUCUCUGGCCACAACAGGAGAGAGAGCAGCAUCCCUCUGGGCCUCCGUUCCCAGCCUGCUUGGAGGAGUGGCGGUCUCUUCUCAAUUGGAACCAGAAUCGGCCCAGAUUCUCAAGCCAAGGGAGCUUCCUCCUGACGCUGGUCUCUGGUUUGGUCCCUGCACACUCGACCCGCCCCCCCAGGGUUUCAGGGGAGCCCUGUGAGCAGGUGCCCAAAGGACGGAAGCCAACAGCAGCCUGCAGUCCAGAUGACAGCUCCCCCUCUGCGGCCCCGGGGCUUCCAACUCCAAAGCAGACUGAUCACUCACUGGACCUGUCUGCACAGCCAAUUUGUUUCAGACUAGAAAUUUCUACACAAAUCUUGUAAAUAAUUCUUCAUGACUAAAGAGGUCAGUGUGAAAAUGCUUUAUAAAGUGGCUCUGCAAUCCAGGGCAGAGUCUGAUCCGUUCUUUAAUACCCGUGUGACGCACUGUCCGGGCUUCGGAAGUGCUGGCUCACUCCACACUGGCUAUGGCUGGGGCUUUCUGAACAUCAUCCUGACAAGCAUGGCCCUGCGAUGCUAUGUGGGGUCAGGCCGUCCUGCAUGCUUGAAACCCCCACGGCUCUCCUGCAGGGAUAAGGACCCUGCACAGCAUAUAGGGUCGUAGCCUGGCACUGGAGACCCUCCAUCUCUUCCUCUCUUCCGUCUGACAAUUGGGUCCAACUUCCUAGGUAUGUUCGUACCUGAGCCUCGGGAGCUACCAGGUCACCAGUCUCUCCACCUCUCUCCUGCAGACGCCAUGGCGCCUCCACCUGAAGAUGCCACGUUGCCCCCUUCACUCUUUGUAACAUUAACUUUAUUGGCGCAUGUUAUGUACACAAUAUGAUGGCACUCAUCACUGGGAACUUGCACCUUGACAUACUUUAUCUUGGUUCUCAUUUUUCCCCCUUCUCCUGCCCUCCCUUCAACCCCUCCACCCCUCCCUAUUUACAAAGACUUUGUUUCCAUUUUUUCAUUUUCUCAUAUUAAUUCACUCUUUGCCAAGAGGAGCAAGUUUUGCAGACAAAGCCCACACAUGGAGCUACCUUCCACAUCUCUCCUUACUCUGGCCUCAGCGGCCUGGUCGUGAUUCUUUUCCACUCCUCCCACUGCCCAGCCUCAACCUCCUGACCAGACAAAACUGCUCAUUGUUCUCUCCAAACUCACAGACCGCUCUGUCUUCAGAUGGACCGCACAGCCCAGGGGAAGUAAUGUGCAAACUACUUCCCAUACCCCUCAGCCCACCUGAAGCUGGCCUCCUUCUCCCUUCCCUGGGGAUCUCUUCCUGUGUCGCGGUCCAUUGGCGCAUGCCCAGCAGGCCCUGCAUCACUCACACACCCUCUCGGCCUGAGUGCUAUGCAGACCUCAGCUUGGAAUAUGGGGAGCGGGCAGCAGGAAGCUGAGUCCAGCACUGAGAUAAGCUUUUGGCUGCAGAGAGGCCCCUCACCGACAUUCAGAUCCCAUUCCCAAGGGUGCCUGGGCACAACGACUUGUCAGUGAGGCAGGAUGAAGACCAAGUCCUCUCCUUUCAACUGAAGAGGACCUCCUGUUCUCAGCCCCAAAGCUCCUGCCACGAUACAGGACUGGCCCAGGCCUUCCCUGGAACUGCACAACAGCUCAGCUGCUGGCCCUGCCACCUCUGCUUCCCUGCAGGUGUGGCCCAAAGUGCUCCCAAGCGCUAUUCCACACCAGCUCUCGACCAUGGGUGGGCUUCCAAGGACACCCAGCACCCAAAACUCUCUGGGCAGCUCCUUCAGGCCGGAGAACACCUGAUGGCCAAUUUCUCAUCUUCCAGAGCAAGCUCCUGUCUUCAAAACGAGGCGAUUCUACAGGAACAGAGCUGCUGACUCUAUGUGCAAGAGACGAAGAUGACCUACUCUAUGAAGCAACUGCAGGCUGAGCACCGUCUCCGGGCCAAAACAUACAGACAAGCGAGGUACCCUCAGGAAGAAACAGAGCCAGGAAUGGGCUCUGUUUACCUCCUUUUCCAAUUUUAUGUCUGACAAGCAGUAGGUGUUGUAUAGGAGUUCAUUUUUGUUUCUUCCUGAGGUGUGGAGUUGGACUGGGUCAUGUUCUUACUAGAGGUACUGUGUGUUCCUCACAGCGGGAGAGUAGCACUCCCGUCACCUUACCCCAGGUGAGCUUGGCCACGUGUCUCUCACCCCGUGUGCAGGAUCAAGGCCAACCUGGCCUGCUGUUCUCAGGGUGACAACAGAAAUGUCGGGGAGCAAGCCCCACGUGCCACGCAUCUCAGGCUUUUACCGCAUCAUAGGCUCCAUUUUCCCUAACCAGAGAAGGGUGAGACAGGCCACAGAGCUCUCAAAGAUCAUCCAGUCUGAUACGAGACGACAGCAUGUUCUGCAAGGUGCUGGAUCGCUCAUUCCCCAGGUUGCUCUCCGACAGAGCCCACCACUGGGCCGCCCGCCCUGAGCAUUGCUGGCCACUCUUCGGUCAUGGCCCACUUUCAAUAGGACAGCAGGAGAGACGCACAUGGCUGGCAAAAUGCAAAAUAAAUAUUUCAAUCCAAAGCAUAAAAUCUUUUUUAUUAUU